This 427-nucleotide ribosomal RNA is filed under the name uncultured bacterium. Its description in RNAcentral is "partial 16S ribosomal RNA". It matches the Rfam family "Bacterial small subunit ribosomal RNA", at positions 355 to 774 of the family's 1533-position model. The record is from RNAcentral.
UGGGGAAUAUUGCACAAUGGGCGCAAGCCUGAUGCAGCCAUGCCGCGUGUAUGAAGAAGGCCUUCGGGUUGUAAAGUACCUUCAGCGGGGAGGAAGGCGAUAAGGUUAAUAACCUUGUCGAUUGACGUUACCCGCAGAAGAAGCACCGGCUAACUCCGUGCCAGCAGCCGCGGUCAUACGGAGGGUGCAAGCGUUAAUCGGAAUUACUGGGCGUAAAGCGCACGCAGGCGGUCUGUCAAGUCGGAUGUGAAAUCCCCGGGCUCAACCUGGGAACUGCAUUCGAAACUGGCAGGCUAGAGUCUUGUAGAGGGGGGUAGAAUUCCAGGUGUAGCGGUGAAAUGCGUAGAGAUCUGGAGGAAUACCGGUGGCGAAGGCGGCCCCCUGGACAAAGACUGACGCUCAGGUGCGAAAGCGUGGGGAGCAAACA